CCUGCAGGUGGGGAGCCGGGGUUCGAACCGGGAUCCUUAUGCCGGUCCUUGUGCUUUGCGCCACCUGCGCUUAACCCGCUGCACUACAGUCCGACUCCCUAAAAUAAACCUUUUUCAAGUGCACAUGUCACAGUCAUCAAAAGUUUAUUCUAGACCAUCAGAAUAGUCUCAACAGAAUGAAAUGAAAUCUCAGUAAAUUUUUACAUACGGAUGUUCUCUCACCAUAAUGGUAAUAAAUUAACAAUAACAAUGUAACUCAAAAUCUCCAAAUAUUUUUGACUCAAACAACACACUUAGUAACUAUUUGGUCAAAGAAGUAAAAAAAAAAAAUUAGAAAAUAUCUUUAACUGAAUGAUAAUAAAAAUAUAACAUCAAAAUUUGUGAAAUAUAACUAGAACAAUGCUGAGAGAUCAACGUUUAACUGUUGGUACUUACAUUAAAAAAAGAAGAACAGUUACUUAAGUUACUGCCUCAAGAAGUUGAGGGAAACAAGAACAAAGUUAGUAGAAGAACCAACAAAGAUAGAGAGUAUAGGUGUGCUGGGUGGUGGUAGCAGUGCACAAAAGAUGAGCAUAUGUGCAUUUCUCAGAUGUGGAAAUUUAAUUCCAACGUACAUCUAAAGGAAAUGAGACCCUAUGUUCACAAAAAAAGUUUGUACAAGAAUGUUCAUAGUGACAUUAUUAUACUUAGCAACAAAGUGAAACUAAGAAUGAUUCUCUUUAAGUACAAAUAAAGUUUUACCUAAAACUUGUUUUUAUUGGUUAAAUCAUUCUCUAAUGUUCACCAUAAGUGGGGGAUCAUGGAUAGAAUUGGACUUGAGGGGGGCAUUUUAAUAAUAAGUAAAUAGGGUUUUUUGCCACUGUUUGAGUUUAUUAGUAUGUUAUAUAUCUAUGAGCAAAUAUCAGAAAUAUAUAUAUCUGUUUCAUGCCCUCAUAACAUUUUAAAAAUCACAGAAUUAUUUAUCUUGGGAAAUAAAUUUUUCUCUCUGAAAACAAAACUACUAAUAUUUUAAUUUCAUAUGAAGCUAAUAGGUUCAUAUAUGAUGUCUCUCUUGGAACUGUGUCUUUAACCACUCUAUUUUCACUGUUUUACAACAAAUUAUUUGAAUAGAUUUAAUUUCUGUAAUUUAAAACUUUUAGAGGGUGAGUUUUUUUUUAUCUCACUGAUCUAGUAUUAUUACAAAUUAUUUUUAUUAUGACUUAUUUUAGCAGAAGUUUGAUGUUUUGGACAGUUAAAUAAAGAAAACCAAAAAUUUAAUAUACUUAAUAAGUUAAAGUGGCUAAUCAAAACCUAUACCUGCAUAUUAGGAAAUAAAAACAUUGUUAGACUAGAUUUAACUUAUGUAAUUUAAAAAUCUUUAAAGGGUAAUUCUAGCUUAACUCAUUGAUCUAGUACUACUACAAUUUCUUACAUACAUGUAAAUUCUUUUGAACAAGAGUCUAAUCAUCCUGACAGUUAAAUAAAGGAAAAAUAUAAAAAUACAAUUCAUAAAUUAAGUUAAAGUUUUUUGUGUCCAGAACACCCUUUAGCUUAGGAAGUAAAAACAUAACUAUAAAAAUUGUAAUUAAUGUACUACACUGCCAAUCCCCUUCUCCUUAGUAUUGUUUUAUAGCUAAUUGAUAAAUGUUUUGUGUCAUCAUUUGUGUAUUGAUUGCCUUGAUGUGUUCAGAUAUGAAAACUCAGCUCUUCUGCAUUUCUGUAAUUUUCUGCAUUAUGUUAUACCUCAAUAAAAGCCCCUUUGAAGGAAGCUUUAGUGCAGUGGUCUCUAACCCUCUUUGCUGCCUUUCUGUCACUAUCUUUAAAAAUGUGGCACACUUUAUGAAUUUGCCAGUCAUCAUUAUAAAGGUUUUUUGUCACUAUCUUUAAAAAUGUGGCACAUUUUAUGAAUUUGCGAGUCAUCCUUAUAAAGGAGCCAUGCUAAUCUUCUCUGUAUCAUUCCAAUUUUAGUAUAUGUGCUGCCAAAACAAGCACUAAAAUUAGGUGAAUUUGUGGUAUAUGAAAUAUAUCUCAGUGAAGCUAUAAAAUAAAUGAAAAGAAAAUUAUCUAUAUAAAAAACUCAUACAAACUUAAAGAGUAGGGGGUGGAAGAGAAAUCAAUCCUGAAAGGCAUAACAGCAAAUCUGAGAUAUACUGUUUAAAUAUGAACUUGAGGACAUUAAGAGAAUGUAUGAGACAUAGAAUAACAAUAUCGGGCAAAAAUUUUAAAACUAAGAAAUGUAGUAACAACUUGGACCCAGGCAGAGGGCUGGAGUAUUGUGCAGAAAACUGACACAUUUUACAAAUGUACCAACAACUGUAUUUACUGUUUACUGUAAACCAUUAAUCCCCUCAAUUAAAAAAGGGGGGUAGAAAGGACAACUGUGCAGUGAUAGAUGAAAACCAAACUUUGGUGGUGAUUACUGCUCAAUGUAUACAAAUGUCAAAUUAAAAUAUUAUAUAUUUAAAAAGAUGUAUUAUAGACUCAGAAAUGAAGAGAGACUGGAAGAAAAUAAGAAUGAGUUAACACAACAGAAACACCUUCCUUAGCCCGACUCCCGAAAUUUUUUAAAAUCGAAAACAAAGAUAAAACAGGAUUUGAGGAAAUGUAACAAAUACUGAAUACAAUAAAACCUGGUGUAUGGAUAAAAGGAUUAUCUGAAAAGAAAAACUAAAGCAAGGGAGGAGAAUAAAUGCUGAAAACUGAUACUAAGAACACUUUCCUGGAACCAAAAGCAUUGAUUUGAGAAAGCACACCAUGUAUCUGAGAAUUUUAACCCAGAAUGAACACUGAGAUGCAUUCUAAUAAAAUUACUAAACUUCAGGGGGGAAAAAA
Molecule: long non-coding RNA, 2811 nt
Organism: Erinaceus europaeus (western European hedgehog)
Lineage: Eukaryota; Metazoa; Chordata; Mammalia; Eulipotyphla; Erinaceidae
Exons: 2
Source: RefSeq, a predicted model, not a curated record